GUAACAAGGUUUCCGUAGGUGAACCUGCGGAAGGAUCAUUAAAGAGAUAGG
Molecule: ribosomal RNA, 51 nt
Filed under: Umbilicaria esculenta
Lineage: Eukaryota; Fungi; Ascomycota; Lecanoromycetes; Umbilicariales; Umbilicariaceae
Description: partial 18S ribosomal RNA
Rfam family: Eukaryotic small subunit ribosomal RNA (bases 1-41)
Source: RNAcentral